This 65-nucleotide transfer RNA is filed under the name Bradyrhizobium erythrophlei. RNAcentral describes it as "tRNA_Arg_TCT". It matches the Rfam family "tRNA". From Rfam's summary of the family: Transfer RNA (tRNA) molecules are approximately 80 nucleotides in length. Lineage: Bacteria; Pseudomonadati; Pseudomonadota; Alphaproteobacteria; Hyphomicrobiales; Nitrobacteraceae. The record is from RNAcentral.
UGUCCCCUGGCUUGAGUAGCGGAUUUCUACUCCGUGGGUUGCAGGUUCGAAUCCUGCUGGGAUCG